Molecule: ribosomal RNA, 495 nt
Filed under: uncultured bacterium
Lineage: Bacteria
Description: partial 16S ribosomal RNA
Rfam family: Bacterial small subunit ribosomal RNA
Source: RNAcentral
GACGAACGCUGGCGGCGUGCCUAAUACAUGCAAGUCGAACGCUGAAGGAGGAGCUUGCUUCUCCGGAUGAGUUGCGAACGGGUGAGUAACGCGUAGGUAACCUGCCUGGUAGCGGGGGAUAACUAUUGGAAACGAUAGCUAAUACCGCAUAAGAGUAGAUGUUGCAUGACAUUUGCUUAAAAGGUGCAAUUGCAUCACUACCAGAUGGACCUGCGUUGUAUUAGCUAGUUGGUGGGGUAACGGCUUACCAAGGCGACGAUACAUAGCCGACCUGAGAGGGGGAUCGGCCACACUGGGACUGAGACACGGCCCAGACUCCUACGGGAGGCAGCAGUAGGGAAUCUUCGGCAAUGGACGGAAGUCUGACCGAGCAACGCCGCGUGAGUGAAGAAGGUUUUCGGAUCGUAAAGCUCUGUUGUAAGAGAAGAACGAGUGUGAGAGUGGAAAGUUCACACUGUGACGGUAUCUUACCAGAAAGGGACGGCUAACUACGUG